UUUCCAAGUCGGAGAAACAGAGACGGUUUAGUUUCAGGAUCGAUUCGGUGAGUUAAGUCGGUCAACUGAACUCAGUUCCUCCCAAAACUCAGCCAUGGCCUCUCUUUCUCCUCAGACACUCCUCUCUAUCUCAAAACCAAACAAACCCAACUCAAAACAGCUGCCAAGCCACGCUUGCCUCCUCUCAAAACUUUCCCAGAACCCCAAUUUCUCUAGAAACAAACAGAGAAAGUUGAACAGCUG
This 243-nucleotide long non-coding RNA is filed under the name Citrus sinensis (sweet orange). RNAcentral describes it as "long non-coding RNA (CSIN_LNC000089)". Lineage: Eukaryota; Viridiplantae; Streptophyta; Magnoliopsida; Sapindales; Rutaceae. The record is from RNAcentral.